GCCCGAUAAUUAUUCACCUACAAAGCUAAACCUCAUCAUCAGAUCAAUUGUAAAUUUCCAAGAUCUAUGAUGAAAAAUAUUGUUGCACGUUGCUAGUUUGGAACCCUUGAUCACACUAGGUCAGUUUGGAACCCCUCCUAAGGUCGAUCCAAAUCCACAAGACAUCUCUAGACCCACAACUAAUCUACUAAAUUGUAGAGAGAGAAAGAAUAAAGAAAACAAAGAGCAAGAGAGGAAAAGAGAGAGAAGAGAGCUACUCUCUUCUCCCUUGAAAUAGAAAAAGUUCUUAUCUCCUUCCCAAAGGAUAAGGCUGGCAACCUACCAUAUAG
RNAcentral lists this long non-coding RNA (329 nucleotides) under Elaeis guineensis (African oil palm). Its description in RNAcentral is "long non-coding RNA (EGUI_LNC074565)". Lineage: Eukaryota; Viridiplantae; Streptophyta; Magnoliopsida; Arecales; Arecaceae. The record is from RNAcentral.